CAGUGAGUGGAGUAGUGAGUACUAUGCAUAUGAGAUAGAAUAUAAUCAUGGCUCGAGAUGAAAUCUCAAGAUCAAUAACAAGAUGAACAUGAACUCAACAUAGAGAAUAUGGAGUAAAUCAUCAAUAUCACCACAAUCACAAUCAACUCAUCUGGAGCACAUAUGGAAUAAUCAAGUAAACAUAUAUGCUACUCAUGAA
This 199-nucleotide long non-coding RNA is filed under the name Phoenix dactylifera (date palm). RNAcentral's name for it is "long non-coding RNA (PDAC_LNC002448)". Lineage: Eukaryota; Viridiplantae; Streptophyta; Magnoliopsida; Arecales; Arecaceae. The record is from RNAcentral.